AAACUUUGGCACGUGCGAAUGUUGCUGCCACAAUAACAAGAUAUUGUUACCUAACACAAUGUCAUCCAUAAAACAACUAAUUUUCAUCAUUGAAAAUAUAACAGUUCAUCGACCAGGAUUAGUGAGUCACCGGUCACGUUCACAAAGUAAAAAGAUAUCUCAUUGCUACAAAUUGGGUGAAUCAAGGCAUGCUAAUAAACCAGGAACAAAACAAUAGAAAGAUCCAAAAUUCAAAGUAGCUUCAAAUAUCUGAAAAUGAGAGAGGCUGCCUUACACCACCAUGAUAACCAUAUAUCUUAAUAUUUCCAGAGCACAGAAGAUGAUAAAGGCCACAUUCCAACAAUGCAGUAUAUUAGUCACCUCUUAUUCUGUUUAAUGAUUUAAAAUUAGAUCUACAUCUCCCAACAAGCCUCAGAUAUAAAGCAACUUAAAUCAUACUGACAGCACAACUGAGGCUGGAAUAGCCUAUUUGCUAUUAAAAGAAAAUGUUGCAAACAAGGAGGGAAAAAAAAAGCAAUGCAUGAUUGAACAUAUUACAUUUUUACAACAAAAGGUGGGGAUGAAAUUGAAUGCAUAUAAAAGUAAAAUUUAAAUAUAAGUCAUAACUAAAAAAUCUGUUUGAACCAGGAUUAUACAAUAAUAUUAGCACCAUCUGGUAAACUAGCUUGUGGACAUUACAUGUCUGCACAUGUAAAAUACAUAUCAAGAUUACUUCAAAUUGUAGUCUGAUGAAUAACCCCACCUGUGCCAUCAAAACUAGAGCUGAGAUUGUGUUUUUCCUGUCAACAGGAAAAUUCAGCACGUAAAGGAGAAACAGGUGUUGAUGAGGAGAAGUGACAUGCAAUUUGAAUACUACGAUAGAAACAAUUAGUUUUAUGUCUAUAUGCAAUCUAUGAUUGUGGAGUCCUCUUCAGCAUUUUCAAAUAGCUUAUCAGAUAAACCAGUGAAAGGAAAAAGAAAAUGAGACGGGAUUUCAGUCUAGCAAAUUCAACUGAUAUUUCCUUUUCUAGGCCCCUGAAAAUCUUUCAGCUCAAUCUCCAAACUAAAUUCAUUUAUCAGUGUGACAUCAGAAAUAGUUAAAGCAAUGAAUUAGAUAAAAAUUAGGAUCAAGAUGAAAAAAAAUUAUAACUCAAUUGUGAAACAAGUACCAAUUUGGUUUUCAACUUAUGAAUACUUCUAGUAGCUAGAACUACAGGCUGACCAGGGUAAGAAAAUCCAUGUAAUACAGGAAAAGAACCAAUCCUUCAUCUGCACAUCAAGUAUGCUCGUGCACUGUGAAGUGUAAUUAGUCUAUUCACCUUCUGAGAGAUGCAUGAUCUAUCCAGACUAUCCAUGCUUCAUCUUAGAGGUAGCAAACUAGCAGCUGGGACAAAAAUGGAUCAAUAAAGAGCUAAAUUUUAAAGAACUUAUGAAUUGAAGUGCAAUAGUUGCAUGUUACUUCAUUCUUUCUCUACCAGUAAGUCAUAAUUUUGAAUUGAAUCACACCAUUCAAUCUUUUCAUUUGAUCCUUUUGUCCAUGGUUGAUUUGGAUUCUUUCUACUUUUCUCAAUUUGCUAAUCAUGGUAGUAAGUUGAUCAAGCACCUAAACUAUACCAGAAUGAUGUUCUCUGUUUUGAUUGAGGGGAAGCAUUACUACAGCAUACACAAAAUUAUUACAAAGAAAAUAAGUUAUCCCCCAGUUCCCCUGGUGAAAUAUAGAAAGCCAAUCCAAAAACAUGAAUCUACUCGGUACUUUUUUUUAUACGUGUCUAUUGGAAACACAGGAAGUUAUUCUUGUUGGUCAAUCUCAUCAAUUUCAUUCCUUCAUGAUUUUUAAAUUGAGUUAGUUUGACAAUUUCAACUACCUUCUAGUGACACGGCUGAUUACUGUCAUUUCACUCCAUUUAAAAUCACCGGCUGUGUGUCUUAUAGUUGGACAACCAGACUAAAGCAGACCAACUUUAACCCAUAGGCCUGCAAAUGCGUCUUUCCUUAUGUGUUACUCUUAGGAUGUGUUUGGCAGAAAG
This 2006-nucleotide unclassified non-coding RNA is filed under the name Hevea brasiliensis (rubber tree). Lineage: Eukaryota; Viridiplantae; Streptophyta; Magnoliopsida; Malpighiales; Euphorbiaceae. The record is from RNAcentral.